This 427-nucleotide ribosomal RNA is filed under the name uncultured bacterium. RNAcentral describes it as "partial 16S ribosomal RNA". It matches the Rfam family "Bacterial small subunit ribosomal RNA", at positions 355 to 774 of the family's 1533-position model. The record is from RNAcentral.
UGGGGAAUAUUGCACAAUGGGCGCAAGCCUGAUGCAGCCAUGCCGCGUGUAUGAAGAAGGCCUUCGGGUUGUAAAGUACUUUCAGCGAGGAGGAAGGCGUUGUGGUUAAUAACCGCAACGAUUGACGUUACUCGCAGAAGAAGCACCGGCUAACUCCGUGCCAGCAGCCGCGGUAAUACGGAGGGUGCAAGCGUUAAUCGGAAUUACUGGGCGUAAAGCGCACGCAGGCGGUCUGUCAAGUCGGAUGUGAAAUCCCCAGGCUCAACCUGGGAACUGCAUCCGAAACUGGCAGGCUAGAGUCUUGUAGAGGGGGGUAGAAUUCCAGGUGUAGCGGUGAAAUGCGUAGAGAUCUGGAGGAAUACCGGUGGCGAAGGCGGCCCCCUGGACAAAGACUGACGCUCAGGUGCGAAAGCGUGGGGAGCAAACA